AAAUUGAAGAGUUUGAUCAUGGCUCAGAUUGAACGCUGGCGGCAGGCCUAACACAUGCAAGUCGAGCGGUAGCACAGAAGAGCUUGCUCUUUGGGUGACGAGCGGCGGACGGGUGAGUAAUGUCUGGGAAACUGCCUGAUGGAGGGGGAUAACUACUGGAAACGGUAGCUAAUACCGCAUAACCUCGCAAGAGCAAAGAGGGGGACCUUCGGGCCUCUCGCCAUCAGAUGUGCCCAGAUGGGAUUAGCUAGUAGGUGAGGUAAUGGCUCACCUAGGCGACGAUCCCUAGCUGGUCUGAGAGGAUGACCAGCCACACUGGAACUGAGACACGGUCCAGACUCCUACGGGAGGCAGCAGUGGGGAAUAUUGCACAAUGGGCGCAAGCCUGAUGCAGCCAUGCCGCGUGUGUGAAGAAGGCCUUCGGGUUGUAAAGCACUUUCAGCGAGGAGGAAGGCGGUAAGGUUAAUAACCUUAUCGAUUGACGUUACUCGCAGAAGAAGCACCGGCUAACUCCGUGCCAGCAGCCGCGGUAAUACGGAGGGUGCAAGCGUUAAUCGGAAUGACUGGGCGUAAAGCGCACGCAGGCGGUCUGUUAAGUUGGAUGUGAAAUCCCCGGGCUUAACCUGGGAACUGCAUUCAAAACUGACAGGCUAGAGUCUUGUAGAGGGGGGUAGAAUUCCAGGUGUAGCGGUGAAAUGCGUAGAGAUCUGGAGGAAUACCGGUGGCGAAGGCGGCCCCCUGGACAAAGACUGACGCUCAGGUGCGAAAGCGUGGGGAGCAAACAGGAUUAGAUACCCUGGUAGUCCACGCUGUAAACGAUGUCGAUUUGGAGGUUGUGCCCUUGAGGCGUGGCUUCCGGAGCUAACGCGUUAAAUCGACCGCCUGGGGAGUACGGCCGCAAGGUUAAAACUCAAAUGAAUUGACGGGGGCCCGCACAAGCGGUGGAGCAUGUGGUUUAAUUCGAUGCAACGCGAAGAACCUUACCUACUCUUGACAUCCAGAGAAUUAGCUAGAGAUAGCUGAGUGCCUUCGGGAACUCUGAGACAGGUGCUGCAUGGCUGUCGUCAGCUCGUGUUGUGAAAUGUUGGGUUAAGUCCCGCAACGAGCGCAACCCUUAUCCUUUGUUGCCAGCGAUUCGGUCGGGAACUCAAAGGAGACUGCCGGUGAUAAACCGGAGGAAGGUGGGGAUGACGUCAAGUCAUCAUGGCCCUUACGAGUAGGGCUACACACGUGCUACAAUGGCGUAUACAAAGAGAAGCGACCUCGCGAGAGCAAGCGGACCUCAUAAAGUACGUCGUAGUCCGGAUUGGAGUCUGCAACUCGACUCCAUGAAGUCGGAAUCGCUAGUAAUCGUAGAUCAGAAUGCUACGGUGAAUACGUUCCCGGGCCUUGUACACACCGCCCGUCACACCAUGGGAGUGGGUUGCAAAAGAAGUAGGUAGCUUAACCUUCGGGAGGGCGCUUACCACUUUGUGAUUCAUGACUGGGGUGAAGUCGUAACAAGGUAACCGUAGGGGAACCUGCGGUUGGAUCACCUCCUUACCAAGAAG
This 1550-nucleotide ribosomal RNA is filed under the name Pectobacterium carotovorum. Its description in RNAcentral is "bacterial SSU rRNA". It matches the Rfam family "Bacterial small subunit ribosomal RNA". Lineage: Bacteria; Pseudomonadati; Pseudomonadota; Gammaproteobacteria; Enterobacterales; Pectobacteriaceae. The record is from RNAcentral. RNAcentral also lists the same sequence under 2 other names.